Molecule: small RNA, 509 nt
Filed under: Pan troglodytes (chimpanzee)
Lineage: Eukaryota; Metazoa; Chordata; Mammalia; Primates; Hominidae
Description: processed transcript
Source: RNAcentral
AUCUGCUGGCUCAGCCUUGGUACUCGGGGAACUGUGACCGCUAUGCUGUUGAGAGUGCCCUGCUCCACUUACAAAAGGAUGGGGCCUAUACCGUGCGCCCCAGCUCAGGGCCUCAUGGCUCCCAGCCCUUCACCCUGGCAGUGCUUCUCCGAGGCCGGGUCUUCAACAUUCCCAUCCGGCGGCUGGAUGGCGGACGCCACUAUGCCCUGGGCCGGGAGGGCAGGAACCAUGAGGAGCUCUUCUCCUCCGUGGCGGCCAUGGUCCAGCACUUCAUGUGGCACCCUCUGCCCCUUGUGGACAGACACAGCGGCAGCCGGGAACUCACCUGCCUGCUCUUCCCCACCAAGCCUUGAGGCCACAGCGAAGUACACACUGCCUUUGGCCCCAGUUUGCUUCUUGUCCCGCCCCACCUUGGGCUGUCUUCCUCUCUCCUUCCCCACCCCUCCUCACCCUAGCCUUUCCCAGUGCCCGCAAGCAGCAUUAAUGGGGAAAGGCUGCCUGGAGGCCCA